CAGCUACACUAAUGGACCGCCUCCUUCCCUUUCCCCUGGGGGCCCUAUCCGGGUGAGUUCCGGAGUUUGUGACUCCGAAGUCCCCCCCAAAACCACGAGCGACGUCCCCUGUCUGUCACCGAGGCCCGUAUCUCCAUCCCGCACCGCGGCCGCCGCAACCCACGCUAGCGGAGCAGGCGGGGCCCCGUAUCCACCGGCGCGUGCCCGGGUGCGCGUCCGACCCGCCGAGCUCGCGCCCCGCUUCACCUCCCAGCUCCCGUCCCAGCCGCACGCGCCGCGCCGCCGGCUUCCCCUCAUCUUCCAGCCGAGCGGCCUCCAGACCCCGCACCGUUGGAGCGACCCGGGCGAAGCCCGAGGGGAAACCGGGGGAGGACGGGGCGGUCCUGUGCGCCCGGGUAGGCGGAGUGGCAGAAUCACCUGAGACCGCCAGACAGCUCACUGCGUUCCCACUCCCGCUCGAGCUCCGCACCCGGACCGGUGGAUCAGGCCCGGGAACCCGCGCCACACCGGGGAGGACCGGCCACAGCGAGCUAGUGAACAUGGCCACACCGUUCCUACCCUCGGGGGCCACCACAGGCGACAGCGGUGGGGAACUGAGCUCCGGGGACGACUCUGGUGAUAUGGAAUCCUUCCAGACCCCCGAGGCCGAGGGGACCCGGAGUUUGGCCGAGCUGUUUGAGAAGGCUGCCGCACACGUCCAAGGCCUGGUUCAGGUAGCCAGCCGGGAGCAGCUCCUGUACCUGUAUGCCAGGUUCAAGCAGGUCAAAGUUGGAAAUUGCAAUACUCCUAAACCAAAUUUCUUUGAUUUUGAAGGAAAGCAAAAAUGGGAGGCAUGGAAAGCCCUCGGUGACUCAAGCCCUAGCCAAGCAAUGCAGGAAUAUAUCGCGGCAGUUAAAAAACUAGAUCCAGGAUGGAAUCCUCAGGUAUCAGAGAAGAAGGGAAAAGAAGGCAGUAGUGGUUUCGGUGGUCCGGUUGUUAGUUCUCUAUAUCAUGAAGAAACAAUCAGGGCAGAGCUCUGCUCCACUGGGCAUGUGACCGAGGACAUAAGGAACUGGUGAAAGUCUUGCUACAGUAUGAAGCUGGCAUUAAUUGUCAGGACAACGAAGGUCAGACAGCUCUUCAUUAUGCCGCUGCCUGCGAGUUUUUGGACAUCGUGGAACUGCUGCUCCAGUCUGGCGCUGACCCCACCCUCCGAGACCAAGACGGCUGCUUGCCAGAAGAGGUGACGGGCUGCAAAGCGGUCUCUCUGCUGCUGCAGCGGCACAGAGCUAGCAAGGCUUGAUCCAAAGCCUGAAGAAGCACAGUUUGGCAGACUAGGACUUCCGGGAUAAAAGAAACUGCAAAAAUAAUACUUCUUUUACCGCCCAUCUUUGGUAUGCAUUGGCUAAUAAAAUCAGUUCGAGGAACUGGGAUUUCGACGUCUCAGCAACUCAUUCUCCAUGCAUACAUUGUGGGGGAGUCUGGGGUUGGUGAUGAACAUGUGUACUGUGCAUAAUAUAAUCCAAUUCUGCCUAGCAUGCUUUGAAAUUUAUCACUGCUGUGGAAGGUGGGGAGAGGAGCAGACAGAUCAUAUUUCACAAUAUUAAACAUGGCUCCCCUCUCCUCUGUGCCCCUCUCUCUCUCUCUCUCUCUCUCUCUCUCUCUCUCUCUCUCUCUCUCUCUCUCUCUCUCUCUUUCUCAAAAUACAGAAGCAAAGUGUGCCCAUCAGCACUACAGUGACAAUUAGGAAAGUUCUGUGAAGUCCCAGCAUAGUAGAAAGCAAAUGACCCAGUAGCAUUUCACAGCUAAUCUGUAUAGGUAGGUAAGAUGGCUGUUCCCUAAAGACAUGCUUGAAAAUGUAAGGAGAAAGAGGGUGUUAAAGCAAGUAGCAGAGAUGAUGGCCUAGUCGGUCAUCAAUGGGAGGAGAGGCCCUUGGUCCUGUGAAGGUUCUAUGCCCCAGUAUAGGGAAAUGCCAGGACCAAGAAUGGAAGUGGGUGGGUUGGGGAACAGGGGGAGGGGGAAGGGGAUAGGGGAUUUUCGGAGGGGAAACUAGGAAAGGUUUUGAAAUGUAAAUAAAGAAAAUAAUGGGCAGUGGUGGUGCAUGCCUUUAAUCCCAGCACUUGGGAGGCAGAGGCAGGUGGAUUUCUGAGUUCAAGGCCAGCCUGGUCUACAGAGUGAGUUCCAGGACAGCCAGGGCUACACAGAGAAACCCUGUCUCAAAAAAAAACAAAAAAGAAGAAAAGAAAAGAGAAAAGAAAAAUGAAAGAAGAAAUUAGUCGCAGUGCAAACGUAGCCAUUAAGAGCUAGUUCCCUAACAGGUGUGACUGUUAAACUGGGAAGUACCUUACAUAGUGCAGCCCACUGCUUACAGUUUUUGUUAGCUUGUGCUAGCCUAUCCUGAGCAAACCCCUCCACAACAUAAGGCAUAUGAAUACUGUUUGUUUUGUGAUUUUUUUGUAGCCUACCUUCGUUCAACCUGAGAUGCAAAAACAAACCAUUCACCAAGACUAAUCAUUUUUAAAUCAUUGCUUAAGGACCUACCUGUGGAAAUACACACAUUGGUGCAUACUGAAA
RNA transcript from Mus musculus (house mouse), 2553 nucleotides. It is a transcript of the gene named acyl-Coenzyme A binding domain containing 6, with no coding region annotated. The transcript is spliced from 7 exons. The record is from RefSeq and is marked validated. Lineage: Eukaryota; Metazoa; Chordata; Mammalia; Rodentia; Muridae.